This 461-nucleotide ribosomal RNA is filed under the name uncultured bacterium. RNAcentral's name for it is "partial 16S ribosomal RNA". It matches the Rfam family "Bacterial small subunit ribosomal RNA", at positions 338 to 795 of the family's 1533-position model. The record is from RNAcentral.
CCUACGGGUGACAGCAGUGAGGAAUAUUGGUCAAUGGGCGAGAGCCUGAACCAGCCAAGUCGCGUGAAGGAUGACGGCCCUACGGGUUGUCAACUUCUUUUGUCAGGGAGCAAUUGGGUCCACGCGUUGGCUUCGCUAGAGUACCUGAAGAAAAAGCCUCGGCUAACUCCGUGCCAGCAGCCGAGGUCAUACGGAGGAUCCGAGCGUUAUCCGGAUUUAUUGGGUUUAAAGGGAGCGUAGAUGGGUUGUUAAGUCAGUUGUGAAAGUUUGCGGCUCAACCGUAAAAUUGCAAUUGAUACUGGCAGGCUUGAGUACAGUUGAGGUAGGCGGAAUUCGUGGUGUAGCGGUGAAAUGCUUAGAUAUCACGAAGAACCCCGAUUGCGAAGGCAGCUUACUAAACUGUGACUGACAUUGAUGCUCGAAAGUGUGGGUAUCAAACAGGAUUAGAUACCCUUGUAGUC